CGGUAAUACGUAGGUGGCAAGCGUUGUCCGGAUUUAUUGGGCGUAAAGCGAGCGCAGGCGGUUUUUUAAGUCUGAUGUGAAAGCCUUCGGCUUAACCGGAGAAGUGCAUCGGAAACUGGGAGACUUGAGUGCAGAAGAGGACAGUGGAACUCCAUGUGUAGCGGUGGAAUGCGUAGAUAUAUGGAAGAACACCAGUGGCGAAGGCGGCUGUCUAGUCUGUAACUGACGCUGAGGCUCGAAAGCAUGGGUAGCGAACAGGAUUAGAUACCCUGGUAGUCCAUGCCGUAAACGAUGAGUGCUAAGUGUUGGAGGGUUUCCGCCCUUCAGUGCUGCAGCUAACGCAUUAAGCACUCCGCCUGGGGAGUACGACCGCAAGGUUGAAACUCAAAGGAAUUGACGGGGGCCCGCACAAGCGGUGGAGCAUGUGGUUUAAUUCGAAGCUACGCGAAGAACCUUACCAGGUCUUGACAUCUUCUGCCAAUCUUAGAGAUAAGACGUUCCCUUCGGGGACAGAAUGACAGGUGGUGCAUGGUUGUCGUCAGCUCGUGUCGUGAGAUGUUGGGUUAAGUCCCGCAACGAGCGCAACCCUUAUUAUCAGUUGCCAGCAUUCAGUUGGGCACUCUGGUGAGACUGCCGGUGACAAACCGGAGGAAGGUGGGGAUGACGUCAAAUCAUCAUGCCCCUUAUGACCUGGGCUACACACGUGCUACAAUGGACGGUACAACGAGUUGCGAAGUCGUGAGGCUAAGCUAAUCUCUUAAAGCCGUUCUCAGUUCGGAUUGUAGGCUGCAACUCGCCUACAUGAAGUUGGAAUCGCUAGUAAUCGCGGAUCAGCAUGCCGCGGUGAAUACGUUCCCGGGCCUUGUACACACCGCCCGUCACACCAUGAGAGUUUGUAACACCCAAAGCCGGUGAGAUAACC
RNAcentral lists this ribosomal RNA (922 nucleotides) under Levilactobacillus brevis. RNAcentral describes it as "bacterial SSU rRNA". It matches the Rfam family "Bacterial small subunit ribosomal RNA", at positions 518 to 1440 of the family's 1533-position model. Lineage: Bacteria; Bacillati; Bacillota; Bacilli; Lactobacillales; Lactobacillaceae. The record is from RNAcentral.